AAUCCAUCGUGUGGACAUUCCCAGACCAAUCUCUUAAACCUCGUCCAAGCAUCACUGAGCGAUUCGUCCAUGUCUUGUUAAAAAUUAGUUAUGAGUUUUCUUUGUCU
Benincasa hispida (wax gourd) is the source of this 107-nucleotide small nucleolar RNA. The record is from RefSeq and is a predicted model, not a curated record. Lineage: Eukaryota; Viridiplantae; Streptophyta; Magnoliopsida; Cucurbitales; Cucurbitaceae.